Molecule: ribosomal RNA, 253 nt
Filed under: uncultured bacterium
Lineage: Bacteria
Description: partial 16S ribosomal RNA
Rfam family: Bacterial small subunit ribosomal RNA
Source: RNAcentral
UACGUAGGGGGCGAGCGUUGUCCGGAUUUAUUGGGCGUAAAGAGCGUGUAGGCGGCCAGGUAGGUCUGCUGUGAAAACUCGAGGCUCAACCUCGAGACGUCGGCGGAAACCAUCUGGCUAGAGUCCGGAAGAGGAGAGUGGAAUUCCUGGUGUAGCUGUGAAAUGCGCAGAUAUCAGGAAGAACACCCGUGGCGAAGGCGGCUCUCUGGGACGGUACUGACGCUGAGACGCGAAAGCGUGGGGAGCGAACAGG